Molecule: ribosomal RNA, 2762 nt
Organism: Rhodospirillales bacterium
Lineage: Bacteria; Pseudomonadati; Pseudomonadota; Alphaproteobacteria; Rhodospirillales
Rfam family: Bacterial large subunit ribosomal RNA
Source: Rfam
GGCGAGUGAAUGAAGGGCAUUUGGUGGAUGCCUUGGCGCUGAGAGGCGAUGAAGGACGUGGCACGCUGCGAAAAGCUUGGGGGAGGUGCGAGCAACCUUUGAUCCCGAGAUCUCCGAAUGGGGAAACCCACUCCGCAAGGAGUAUCCUUACCUGAAUCCAUAGGGUGAGGAGGCGAACCCGGGGAACUGAAACAUCUAAGUACCCGGAGGAAAGGACAUCAACCGAGACUCCGUUAGUAGUGGCGAGCGAACGCGGACCAGGCCAGUGAUCAGAGCUCUGUCGACCGGAACCGUAUUGGAAAAUCGGGCCAUAGCGGGUGAGAGCCCCGUACGGGUAAGAAGAGCUUUGAUCCUUGAGUAAGGCGGGACACGAGAAAUCCUGUCUGAAGAUGGGGGGACCACCCUCCAAGCCUAAGUACUCCUCAGCGACCGAUAGUGCACGAGUACCGUGAGGGAAAGGUGAAAAGCACCGCGACGAGCGGGGUGAAAGAGACCCUGAAACCGAAUGCCUACAAGCAGUGGGAGCUGGACGUAAGUCUUCGGACUUACGGGCUGGUGACCGCGUACCUUUUGCAUAAUGGGUCAGCGAGUUAAUGUUUGCAGCAAGCUUAAGCCGUAAGGUGUAGGCGCAGCGAAAGCGAGUCUGAAUAGGGCGUUUAGUUGCGGGCAUUAGACCCGAAACCGGGUGAUCUAGCCAUGGGCAGGUUGAAGGUAAGGUGACACUUACUGGAGGACCGAACGCACGCCUGUUGAAAAAGUCGGCGAUGACCUGUGGCUAGGGGUGAAAGGCCAAUCAAACCCGGAGAUAGCUGGUUCUCCGCGAAAACUAUUGAGGUAGUGCGUCACGUGAUGCCCGUGUGGGGUAGAGCACUGGAUGGGCUAGGGGGGAGCGAUCCCUACCAAACCUAACCAAACUCCGAAUACGCACGCGUUAACGUGGCAGACAGACGGCGGGUGCUAAGGUCCGUCGUCGAGAGGGAAAGAACCCAGACCACCAGCUAAGGUCCCCAAGUCAUGGCUAAGUGGGAAAGGAUGUGAGAAGGCCAUAACAACCAGGAGGUUGGCUUAGAAGCAGCCAUCCUUUAAAGAAAGCGUAACAGCUCACUGGUCUAAUAGCCGUCUUGCGCCGAAGAUGUAACGGGGCUCAAGCCAUGCACCGAAGCUGUGGAUUCAUCUCAUUGAGGUGAGUAGUAGCGGAGCGUUCCGUAGGCCGGCGAAGCCAGAUUGUGAGAUCUGGUGGAGGUAUCGGAAGUGCGAAUGCUGACAUGAGUAACGAUUAGGCGUGUGAGAAACACGCCCGCCGAAAGUCCAAGGGUUCCUGCGCAAGGUUAAUCCACGCAGGGUGAGCCGGAUCCUAAGGCGAGGGCGAAAGCCGUAGCCGAUGGCAACACGGUUAAUAUUCCGUGGCCUGCUGGUAGUGACGGCGGUCGUAAGUUGUAGGUCCUUAUCGGAUUGGUCCUGCAGCGAAGAUCGUCCAGGAAAUAGCUCCAGCUUAUAGUCCGUACCCGAAACCGACACAGGUGGACUGGUAGAGCAUACCCAGGUGUUUGAGAGAACGACGUUGAAGGAACUCGGCAAAUUACUCGCGUAACUUCGGGAGAAGCGAGACCCAUGCUUGGGCAACCAGGUGUGGGUGGCACAAACCAGGGGGUGGCGACUGUUUACUAAAAACACAGGGCUCUGCGAACUCGAAAGAGGACGUAUAGGGUCUGACGCCUGCCCGGUGCCGGAAGGUUAAGAGGAGAGGUGAGAGCUUUGAAUCGAAGCCCCGGUAAACGGCGGCCGUAACUAUAACGGUCCUAAGGUAGCGAAAUUCCUUGUCGGGUAAGUUCCGACCUGCACGAAUGGCGUAACGACUUCCCCACUGUCUCCAACGUCGACUCAGUGAAAUUGAAUUCUCCGUGAAGAUGCGGAGUUCCCGCGGUCAGACGGAAAGACCCCGUGCACCUUUACUACAGCUUUGCACUGGUACUCGACGAAGCAUGUGUAGGAUAGGUGGGAGCCUUUGAAGCCCAGGCGCCAGCUUGAGUGGAGGCAACCUUGAAAUACCACCCUUGGUUCGUUGCGUAUCUAACCGCGAUCCGUCAUCCGGAUCCGGGACCCUGCAUGGCGGGUAGUUUGACUGGGGCGGUCGCCUCCUAAAGAGUAACGGAGGCGCGCGAUGGUGGGCUCAGGCUGGUCGGAAACCAGCCGUCGCGUGUAAGCGCAUAAGCCCGCCUGACUGCAAGACGUACAUGUCGCGCAGAGACGAAAGUCGGCGCUAGUGAUCCGGUGGUCCCGCGUGGAAGGGCCAUCGCUCAACGGAUAAAAGGUACGCCGGGGAUAACAGGCUGAUGACCCCCAAGAGUCCCCAUCGACGGGGUCGUUUGGCACCUCGAUGUCGGCUCAUCACAUCCUGGGGCUGAAGCAGGUCCCAAGGGUUCGGCUGUUCGCCGAUUAAAGUGGUACGUGAGCUGGGUUUAGAACGUCGUGAGACAGUUCGGUCCCUAUCUGCCGUGGGUGUUCGAGACUUGAGAGGAUCUGCCCUUAGUACGAGAGGACCGGGGUGGACGUACCUCUGGUGGACCGGUUGUUGCGCCAGCAGCAUAGCCGGGUAGCUAAGUACGGACGGGAUAACCGCUGAAAGCAUCUAAGCGGGAAACCCACCUCAAAACCAGGUCUCGCUUGAGAGCCGUGGUAGACCACCACGUCGAUAGGCCGGAGGUGCAAGCGUGGCAACACGCUCAGCCAACCGGUCCUAAUAGCUCGAUCGAGCUCGCAAC